RNAcentral lists this ribosomal RNA (463 nucleotides) under uncultured bacterium. RNAcentral's name for it is "bacterial SSU rRNA". It matches the Rfam family "Bacterial small subunit ribosomal RNA", at positions 29 to 507 of the family's 1533-position model. The record is from RNAcentral.
GUUAACGCUGGCGGCGUGCCUAACACAUGCAAGUCGAACGGUUCUAAGCGCGAGCUUAGGAUAGUGGCGAACGGGUGAGUAAAAGGUAGGAAUCUACCCCUUGGACGGAGAUAGCUACUGGAAACGGUAGGUAAACUUCGAUAAGCCCGAGAGGGGAAAGUGGUGAGACAGCCGAGGGAUGAGCCUACUCUCCAUCAGGUAGUUGGUGAGAUAAAAGCUUACCAAGCCGAUGACGGAUAACCGGUGUGAGAGCAUGAACGGUCACAAGGGCAUUGAGAGACGGGCCCUACUCCUACGGGAGGCAGCAGUGGGGAAUCUUGGACAAUGGGCGAAAGCCUGAUCCAGCGACGCCGCGUGGAGGAAGAAGUCCUUCGGGAUGUAAACUUCUGAACUAGCCGAAUAAAAGGCCUGUGGACACACAGGAGAAGAAAGUAGGCUAGGAAAAGUCCCGGCUAACUACGUG